This 1933-nucleotide long non-coding RNA is filed under the name Setaria viridis. RNAcentral's name for it is "long non-coding RNA (SVIR_LNC005001)". The record is from RNAcentral. Lineage: Eukaryota; Viridiplantae; Streptophyta; Magnoliopsida; Poales; Poaceae.
CACGCCACCACACCUCCUCCUCACCCACCCCUCGCCCAGCGCACCGGCGGCGGCGGCGGGCGUUCACCGACCACCGCACACCCGUCGUGCGCACCGCCAGGCCAAUCGGAUCGGCUGCCCAAGGGGUCGAGUUCCCCGCGCCCUAUCCGUCCACACAGCCGCCGAGCUACGGAGCCGCCGGCCGCGUCUCUUGUCGCCGGGCGGGCGCGGGGAUAUGAGGCGGUCGUCGAGCGGGGCGCGCGUGGCUGAUGGCGGCGGCGUCAGCGUGAGCGAGGCGGCGCUGCCGACGUACGACCCGCUGUCGGCGGCGGGGCGGCGGGAGGCGGCGCGGACGCGGGCGCUGGCGCGCGCCGUGCACUGCAUCCCGGUGGUGCUGCUCGUCUGCGCCUUCCUCCUCUGGCUCUCCGCCUCCUCCCACACCCACCUCGGUAAGUAAGGUUUCCGUUCGGACUUCCUGCCCCCCUCGCCCUGGAGGGGCCUUUUUUCUUCUCCCCAAUUUGAGCCUGAGCCGAUGAUGGAUUAGCGAUUGCCUAAAGGUGUUAGUGAUCUGAACUGCAAUGUGUUGGGGGAGGUUUUCCUGAAAUGGGAUCAUUUGGCCGCCGGGGGAAAAAAAGGACUCCGAUUCUGUCCCAGCAUCAGUUAGGGCGCGCGAGCAACAUUGCAGCUGGAGUGCGAUGUGCCAAACAUACCAAUUUCAUGCCUCUAAUACUAACAAUGCAAAAAUAACUAGAACGAACAUAACUAGAAAAAUCUGAACCUAAAAAUGUGAAUAAAAGAAGAUGAAGAAUGUAGCUGCCCGCCUGCCCCUGACUCUCCUAGUCUGUUCCAGUCUUCCAAGUUCAGGAAACACAGGGACAACAUUUAGUCUCUUAAAUUAUUCUAAUUACAGUUUACAAAGUGUUCCUUUUGCUUUGUCAAAUGGAUGCACCAAAAGUUGUCAAGGCAUACCUUAAGUGUUAGUUGUCACCAAGGAGGAAAGAUCCAGCAGACCAGCACAAGUUAACUACUAAUCUGAGAAUCCAGAACAUGGGCUAGUGUAUGGUAUGAUAGGCGAGCAUGUUCAGGUUUGUGGUCUUGUGGACAGCCAUCCUUGUUAAAUGCAGGCCAUUGUCCUGUUUCCAGCAGCCAGCCUCCAAUGUUUCUUCCUAUAUCAAGUCGUUUGCUCCUUCUGCCGCUAUGGGCAUCGUUUCUUCCGUCUCGCAUGUUUGCUUGUUGCACAAUAGCUGUACAGAACAUGCUUUCACUAUAACAGGGAAUUGAGUCCACAUGUUCCUGAAAUAGUAUUGUUGUGUAAGUUUACACUAAGGAUAUGGUUACACUCUGUCGGAGCCAAUUUAAAAAAAAUCAUCCAUAUCAUUAGGGUAUCUGUAUCCAGCUCAAAGUGGCUUUUGAAAUGUGAAUGGAUUGUAUUUGGAAAAUCAUUUAUUUGAUUUGGGUAUCUGCUCCAUGCCCUCACACUUUCCUUGACAGUUAUGGUCUUUGAAGUUCUUCAAUGCGUUGAUGAUCACCUGCCACUGGCAAUAAAGUUUAGCAUAAAAAUGUUCCUUGUGUGUGUGUUUUACGCCACUGGAAGACUUUCUAAUGUCAAUGAUUUGCUAUGUAUGCAGAUUGAGAUUUAGUGGGAAUCAUUAGUGGAGCUGACAGCUAGAAUCUGGUUCUAUAAUACAAGUGAAGUAGAGUUCUGAGUUCAAAAAGAUAGAGCAAAAAAGGUAAAUUAGAUCAGACAUGAUCUGGUAAUAUGCAGGCACGAUAAUAGAAGAAUUAGGAAGAAAGUUGAUCUGCUAGCAGGUUUUCCGAUAAUCUGAUACAUUCUUUUGAGGCCAUACUGAGUUGAGCUGUUUCGGCUCAGUGUUACAUAUUGUAUACAAAUGUCAUGUGUAUUCUUCCCCAACACUAAGCAUACAAUACAUGCUCUAAUAUUCUUUUUGUACAA